RNAcentral lists this transfer RNA (62 nucleotides) under Bragasellus molinai. Its description in RNAcentral is "transfert RNA-W(TGA)". Lineage: Eukaryota; Metazoa; Arthropoda; Malacostraca; Isopoda; Asellidae. The record is from RNAcentral.
AGGAUUUUAAGUUAAAUUAAACUAGUAGCCUUCAAAGUUAAAAAUAAAGAAAUUAAAUCUUA